Molecule: long non-coding RNA, 650 nt
Organism: Zalophus californianus (California sea lion)
Lineage: Eukaryota; Metazoa; Chordata; Mammalia; Carnivora; Otariidae
Exons: 3
Source: RefSeq, a predicted model, not a curated record
GGCUCGGAGAAGUAGUUCAGGAAGAGAGAGAAGAAGGGAUUCAGAGACUUAAAAGGAGAAAAAGAACAGGAGGCGGCCAUUCCCAGAGACCCUGUAUAAACAGACGGACCCGAGGAGGUGGAGGACAGAGACCUCUUCCCAGCCUGGCAGGAGUCUCCCCACUUUGAAUUGGGCCAAAGGGGUCCAGCUUGCUAGGCCUCUGGGGAAGGGUGUCCGUGAGCUACUGGAGAACCUCCCCAAGGGCUCCGCUGGGAAGCACCUGUCCUUCAACAAGAGGAUUUACUCCAAACUUCAGGCCUGGCUUGUUAGAAAGUAGAAGACUGUCUACUCCCCAGGUAUGGAGCACAGGCCACUGAGGCGGGAAGAUGAGAACACUGAGGUACUGAAAGCCAGGAAGAGACAGGAGCUAGACUCAAAUGCUGUUUUUCUGCCUCCGAUCAUUAGAAGCUGAUUUCUCGACAUCAAACUUGGUAGAUGUGGCCCUUGCUUUGCAGGAGUAUCUUGCACACACAUCUAGCUCUUCUCCCACUCUGACAUCCUCUGCUCCAGUGCUAGCAGUUGAGACUCAUAGUGCCCUAACCACGGAAAGCUCCCUGAUGUGUGGCUGGGAAAUAUCUCCUCUGUCCAAGGUGGCCUUCGAGUCCCUGAGG